This 496-nucleotide unclassified non-coding RNA is filed under the name uncultured Glomus. RNAcentral describes it as "SSU rRNA". It matches the Rfam family "Eukaryotic small subunit ribosomal RNA", at positions 591 to 1092 of the family's 1831-position model. The record is from RNAcentral. Lineage: Eukaryota; Fungi; Glomeromycota; Glomeromycetes; Glomerales; Glomeraceae.
CCAAUAGCGUAUAUUAAAGUUGUUGCAGUUAAAAAGCUCGUAGUUGAAUUUCGGGAUUAGUACGUUGGUCGUGCCUUCGGUACGUACUGGUGUUACUGAUUCCUACCUUCUGACGAACCAUCAUGUCAUUAAUUUGGUGUGGCGGGGAAUCAGGACUGUUACUUUGAAAAAAUUAGAGUGUUUAAAGCAGGCUCGCGCUUGAAUACAUUAGCAUGGAAUAAUGAAAUAGGACGUUGACCCUAUUUUGUUGGUUUCUAGGAUUGACGUAAUGAUUAAUAGGGAUAGUUGGGGGCAUUAGUAUUCAAUUGUCAGAGGUGAAAUUCUUGGAUUUAUUGAAGACUAACUACUGCGAAAGCAUUUGCCAAGGAUGUUUUCAUUAAUCAAGAACGAAAGUUAGGGGAUCGAAGACGAUCAGAUACCGUCGUAGUCUUAACCAUAAACGAUGCCAACCAGCGAUUAGCCUGAGUUCCUUAAAUGACUCGGCUAGCAGCUUCCG